This 46-nucleotide non-coding RNA is filed under the name Schistosoma mansoni. Lineage: Eukaryota; Metazoa; Platyhelminthes; Trematoda; Strigeidida; Schistosomatidae. The record is from RNAcentral.
GCACUGCUGAGGAGUCCCACAAUAGGACGAAAAGGCCGUGCAGUGC